UGAAUUGUACAUCGAUGAUCGAUCAAACUUGUCAUGUUUAUCAUGAAAGUGAGAAAAUCUUGCUCAAAUCAUCAACUUGGUAAUUAAUUUAUGCACAGUUGGAGUGCUUUGUUUAUUGAAGGUAGUUUAAAAAUUAGUGCCAAAAUGCUUGUGUUGUGAAAAGCAUGUUCAGUCUAUCAAAGAAGUCACAAGUUUUAAAAUACCUUGGAAAAUUGCCGAAAACACAUAUACAAGAAUUGUCAAGGCUAGCUUAGCGUUUUCCAGUCGCUUCUAGGUACGGAAUUUCAUAAGCAUUAAAGUGUUGCUCGAACUGCUUUCAAAUCAGGCCACUAAAUAGAGGUGAACAAUAAGGUAUCAAUCUUUUGCGUUUUGAAUAAGGACAGAAUGUGGUUUUCAGCUUCUACGAUGGCAGUCAAGCAACAUGUCACCGAUCUGGUUCAGAAUCAACCGAAACCUAACAUCGCAAAUAUGAUUGCUAUAAUAGAGAUGCUACAGGCGAACCCAGAAACUCUCACAAAUGAAGAUGGGUUGAUCAAAAUUUGCGAGCAACUUGUUUAUCAGCUUGCCCACACACCAGCAAGUCGGGAAGCUGCCGAGAUCAAGACAAUGAAACUUGAAAUUGGAAAAGUUUGUCAUUUUUUUCGCGAACUCAUAGAACGAGUGCCUCAACAACAUAGCCAAAUUCGCCAAGCCUGUUUGACGGUGCUAUAUAAUCAAAUAAUAGCUUUAGGCAAAGAAACAUCCAAUUACGCAUCGGCUGUGCUAGUAUUGGUAGAUAAAUCAAUGAUUAACAACGGCGUUACAUUAAUUCUGCAGCAAUCAAACAGUGACAUAAAAAAAAUAUUCAAAACUCUUUCACAUUGGCUCGAAACCUAUGAUUUUGCCCCUGAUUUAGCUGUAUGGGUUUUAGAAAUUCUUAUCAGAUUACGGAAGCAACAAAAACAAGCUUUAGUUCAGGAGUUAUCACUGGAUAUUAUUGAUUCAUAUUUUGGAAAGUUAAUAUUUCCGACUUACCGCUCUAAGUUAGGGUCUGUUGUGAUGUACAUAUUGCAGUCCAACGUUAACACACCAGACAUUUUGCACAAGAUUACACCAAAGGUCUCUAAAGUAUUGAAGACCCUCAGUAAGGAUGCAACAAUGAGUACGAAUUCUCCAAAUCUUUUCCAAUUUUUAGUGGAUAUCCUUUCCGCUCUUAUGUUACAAAAUUCAACGAUGGGUAAUGAAGGAUAUAGAAACGAGGAACUUGAUAUAUGUUUGGAAAGGUAUUCGAAAUCAAAAAAUUUUCGGCAAUUGCUCGAUAAUCCGCUGUGGCAUGAUACUUCGCACAGCAUUAUGGUUGCAUCAACGAAUGCGAGAGUCGGGCUGGUGAAUCUUGGUAAUACUUGCUAUAUGAAUAGUGUGUUACAAGCGUUGGUUAUGACAAAACAAUUCAGCAGGGAAGUACUUUUAUCAAAAAUUGAUGCACCGUUGUUUUUGCAAAUCCAGAAGCUUUUAGCUUUAUUGCUCCACUCAGUACGACCAGAGUUAACUCCGCGAGCUUUACUCGCAGCAGCUCGCCCUCCAGAUUUUGUUCCAGGGUAUCAACAAGAUUCAUCCGAGUUUCUUGGUUACUUAUUGGAAAAGCUUCACGAACAAGAGAAAAAACUUAUCAAAGAUCAAUUUGAGAGUAAUUUCAAAGGUCACUGGACGCUUGGCGAUAAAAAUUCCCAAAUGCAAGAAUCAUUUUCCUCUGUGAAUGGGAUUACUCAUAAUGAAUUGCGAAACAAUGAAAGUCAACUAGGUCAACAGGAAAGUGUCGCUCAAUGCAGUCAGACACUGCUUCCGCCUACGCUUAUACAAAAAACAUUCGAUGGUAAAUUGUUUGUAACCUACCAGUGUAAUGAAUGCGGCUCACAAAGUUCGAAUCUGGACGCGUUUCGAUCAUUUGAGCUCUCUUUUCCGGAAUCGAGUGAUCUAGGAAUAGAAUAUUCCGUUCAAAAAUUGCUUGAUUUCUAUUGUUCCUCAGAAAAGCUGAUAGGCGAUAAUCAAUAUUUCUGUGAUAAAUGUAAAAGAUUGUGUAACGGAGAACGUUCCAUUCGCAUAUUGAAAUCGCCAAGAAAUCUCAUUCUUACUCUCAAACACUUCCGAUAUGACCAGCAAAGACAUACUAGAGCAAAGCUAAUGAAUAAAGUGCUACACGAUGAAAUUAUAUCCUUGCGAAUAGUUACGGAAACUGGGCAUUCCUCUGUUAUGCAGUAUGUACUGUAUGCAGCUGUAGUACAUGCGGGGACUAGCAUGGAUUCUGGACAUUAUUAUACCUACGCACAGGAUAAAUCAGAUUGUUGGUAUAAAUUCAAUGACAACUUCGUUACAAAAUGCUCUGCUGAUGAAUUGCAUUCAUUAUCUAGCCCGAAUACACCGUAUAUUUUGUUCUAUCAAAUGCAAUAUUUGGCAACAGUCGCCGAUGGAACGAACGAUCAUUGCAUAGACUUAGACGAAGAUAUGGAUGAUCCAUCAGUUGUUAAAUCGUCAGCUAGCUCUUCAAAAUCUAUUGAAGAUUGUCAACUACCAGAGCUUGAAGAACUUCCUUCGCAUUUACGUGACAUUAUAGUCGGUGAUAACCAGUCUUAUAAAGAAGAAAUGCGCAAUGAGAAUAGGAAAAUAACCAAACAUCGCAUCGGUACUAAUAAAAUCGUUUUGCCAAAAAAUUACGAUUCUGACAACGAAGAUCCGCCACCGAACUCGUGUGGUAGUAAGAUAGAUUACAAUAAUCGUUUCAUCUUCUAAUGAUUGGCUAUGAAGUCUGAAAAGCGCUUAAAGCGUUUGAUAUCACACCCAACAAAAUAUUUUUAAAGGUGGCCCAUGUUUGUUAUAGCAACAAAAUAAAUACUUGUCGUUCAACUGAAUUCAUCAAUCUUCAAUAAACCUUUAAAUUAGAAAAAAAUGUUUCUCUAGAACAGUGUCCUAGUUGUGACCUGGAGGCAACCUAACUGCUGUCAAAAUAUUUAUUCCCUUGGUUUUGACCCAGUAUUGACCUGGUAGCACCUCCAGAGCCCACCGUAAAUUUUGUCAUUUUCAGCACACCAACGCAUGAGCUUAGUUUGUAAAUAACUAUCUGGUAUUUCUUUUUUAUUUGUAUUGUAAAUCGCAGUAUCGUUUUUUUUUAAUUCUUGGUAGGUUGACACUACCCCAGUUGAAUAAAGAAGUUCGCUAUUA
RNA transcript from Wyeomyia smithii (pitcher-plant mosquito), 3195 nucleotides. It is a transcript of the gene named ubiquitin carboxyl-terminal hydrolase 38, with no coding region annotated. Lineage: Eukaryota; Metazoa; Arthropoda; Insecta; Diptera; Culicidae. The transcript has 9 exons. The record is from RefSeq and is a predicted model, not a curated record.